GCCUGGGUGGCUCAGUCAGUGAAGCGCCUGACUUUGGCUCAGAUCAUGACCUCACAAUUUGUGGGUUCAAGCCCCACAUCAGGCU
RNAcentral lists this transfer RNA (85 nucleotides) under Felis catus (domestic cat). It matches the Rfam family "tRNA". From Rfam's summary of the family: Transfer RNA (tRNA) molecules are approximately 80 nucleotides in length. Their secondary structure includes four short double-helical elements and three loops (D, anti-codon, and T loops). The record is from Rfam by way of RNAcentral. RNAcentral also lists the same sequence under 1 other name. Lineage: Eukaryota; Metazoa; Chordata; Mammalia; Carnivora; Felidae.